UGGGAUGAGCUAUAAAUAGGCGGAGGAGCUCAUCCCGCGCCGGGUGAAACGGGACGGCCCGCCCGAGGACCCCUAAACUCUGUUUUUAGUGGAACUUCUGAGUAAAACAAACAAAUAAAUCAAAACUUUCAACAACGGAUCUCUUGGUUCUGGCAUCGAUGAAGAACGCAGCAAAAUGCGAUAAGUAAUGUGAAUUGCAGAAUUCAGUGAAUCAUCGAAUCUUUGAACGCACAUUGCGCCCGCCAGUAUUCUGGCGGGCAUGCCUGUUCGAGCGUCAUUUCAACCCUCAAGCUCAGCUUGGUGUUGGGACUCGCGGUAACCCGCGUUCCCCAAAUCGAUUGGCGGUCACGUCGAGCUUCCAUAGCGUAGUAAUCAUACACCUCGUUACUGGUAAUCGUCGCGGCCACGCCGUAAAACCCCAACUUCUGAAUGUUGACCUCGGAUCAGGUAGGAAUACCCGCUGAACUUAAGCUAAUCAAUAAGCGGAGGA
RNAcentral lists this ribosomal RNA (490 nucleotides) under uncultured Fusarium. Its description in RNAcentral is "eukaryotic LSU rRNA". The stretch from base 124 to 277 matches the Rfam family "5.8S ribosomal RNA". Lineage: Eukaryota; Fungi; Ascomycota; Sordariomycetes; Hypocreales; Nectriaceae. The record is from RNAcentral.